Molecule: ribosomal RNA, 501 nt
Filed under: uncultured bacterium
Lineage: Bacteria
Description: partial 16S ribosomal RNA
Rfam family: Bacterial small subunit ribosomal RNA
Source: RNAcentral
AUUGAACGCUGGCGGCAGGCUUAACACAUGCAAGUCGAGCGGGGAGAUGUAGCUUGCUACAUUUCCUAGCGGCGGACGGGUGAGUAAUGCUUAGGAAUCUGCCUAUUAGUGGGGGACAACAUUCCGAAAGGAAUGCUAAUACCGCAUACGUCCUACGGGAGAAAGCAGGGGAUCUUCGGACCUUGCGCUAAUAGAUGAGCCUAAGUCAGAUUAGCUAGUUGGUGGGGUAAAGGCCUACCAAGGCGACGAUCUGUAGCGGGUCUGAGAGGAUGAUCCGCCACACUGGGACUGAGACACGGCCCAGACUCCUACGGGAGGCAGCAGUGGGGAAUAUUGGACAAUGGGCGCAAGCCUGAUCCAGCCGUGCCGCGUGUGUGAAGAAGGCCUUUUGGUUGUAAAGCACUUUAAGCGAGGAGGAGGCUACUUGGAUUAAUACUCUAGGAUAGUGGACGUUACUCGCAGAAUAAGCACCGGCUAACUCUGUGCCAGCAGCCGCGGUAA